GGUGAACGCUGGCGGCGUGCCUAAUACAUGCAAGUCGAGCGAACAGACGAGGAGCUUGCUCCUCUGACGUUAGCGGCGGACGGGUGAGUAACACGUGGAUAACCUACCUAUAAGACUGGGAUAACUUCGGGAAACCGGAGCUAAUACCGGAUAAUAUAUUGAACCGCAUGGUUCAAUAGUGAAAGACGGUUUUGCUGUCACUUAUAGAUGGAUCCGCGCCGCAUUAGCUAGUUGGUAAGGUAACGGCUUACCAAGGCAACGAUGCGUAGCCGACCUGAGAGGGUGAUCGGCCACACUGGAACUGAGACACGGUCCAGACUCCUACGGGAGGCAGCAGUAGGGAAUCUUCCGCAAUGGGCGAAAGCUUGACGGAGCAACGCCGCGUGAGUGAUGAAGGUCUUCGGAUCGUAAAACUCUGUUAUUAGGGAAGAACAAAUGUGUAAGUAACUAUGCACGUCUUGACGGUACCUAAUCAGAAAGCCACGGCUAACUACGU
RNAcentral lists this ribosomal RNA (496 nucleotides) under uncultured bacterium. RNAcentral's name for it is "partial 16S ribosomal RNA". It matches the Rfam family "Bacterial small subunit ribosomal RNA", at positions 28 to 506 of the family's 1533-position model. The record is from RNAcentral.